This 433-nucleotide ribosomal RNA is filed under the name uncultured Mesorhizobium sp. RNAcentral describes it as "bacterial SSU rRNA". It matches the Rfam family "Bacterial small subunit ribosomal RNA", at positions 8 to 489 of the family's 1533-position model. The record is from RNAcentral. Lineage: Bacteria; Pseudomonadati; Pseudomonadota; Alphaproteobacteria; Hyphomicrobiales; Phyllobacteriaceae.
AGAGUUUGAUCAUGGCUCAGAACGAACGCUGGCGGCAGGCUUAACACAUGCAAGUCGAGCGCCCCGCAAGGGGAGCGGCAGACGGGUGAGUAACGCGUGGGAAUCUACCCAUCACUACGGAACAACUCCGGGAAACUGGAGCUAAUACCGUAUACGUCCUUCGGGAGAAAGAUUUAUCGGUGAUGGAUGAGCCCGCGUUGGAUUAGCUAGUUGGUGGGGUAAUGGCCUACCAAGGCGACGAUCCAUAGCUGGUCUGAGAGGAUGAUCAGCCACAUUGGGACUGAGACACGGCCCAAACUCCUACGGGAGGCAGCAGUGGGGAAUAUUGGACAAUGGGCGAAAGCCUGAUCCAGCCAUGCCGCGUGAGUGAUGAAGGCCCUAGGGUUGUAAAGCUCUUUCAACGGUGAAGAUAAUGACGGUAACCGUAGAAGAG